AGUCAAGUAAUUAAGUGCAUGUGGUGGAUGCCUUGGCAGUCAGAGGCGAUGAAAGACGUGAUAGCCUGCGAAAAGCUCCGGGGAGGCGGCAAAUAUCCUUUGAUCCGGAGAUGUCUGAAUGGGGGAACCCACCUACUUUAAGGUAGGUAUUGCAACAUGAAUACAUAGUGUUGCAAGGCGAACGAGGGGAAGUGAAACAUCUCAGUACCCUUAGGAAAAGAAAUCAAUUGAGAUUCCCUCAGUAGCGGCGAGCGAACGGGGAUCAGCCCAUUAAGUUAUGUGUGUUUUAGUGGAACGCUCUGGGAAGUGCGAACGUAGAGGGUGAUAUUCCCGUACACGAAAGGGCACACAUAAUGAUGACGAGUAGGGCGAGGCACGUGAAACCUUGUCUGAAUAUGGGGGACCAUCCUCCAAGGCUAAAUACUCCUGACUGACCGAUAGUGAACCAGUACCGUGAGGGAAAGGCGAAAAGAACCCCUGUGAGGGGAGUGAAAUAGAUCCUGAAACCGCAUGCAUACAAGCAGUGGGAGCACCUUCGUGGUGUGACUGCGUACCUUUUGUAUAAUGGGUCAGCGACUUAUAUUCAGUAGCGAGGUUAACCGUAUAGGGGAGCCGUAGAGAAAUCGAGUCUUAAUAGGGCGUUUAGUUGCUGGGUAUAGACCCGAAACCAGGCGAUCUAUCCAUGAGCAGGUUGAAGGUUGGGUAACACUAACUGGAGGACCGAACCCACUGUCGUUGAAAAGCCAGGGGAUGACUUGUGGAUAGGGGUGAAAGGCUAAUCAAGCCUGGUGAUAGCUGGUUCUCCCCGAAAGCUAUUUAGGUAGCGCCUCGGACGAAUACCAUAGGGGGUAGAGCACUGUUUCGGCUAGGGGGUCAUCCCGACUUACCAAACCGAUGCAAACUCCGAAUACCUAUGAGUACUAUCCGGGAGACAGACUGCGGGUGCUAACGUCCGUAGUCAAGAGGAAAACAAUCCAGACCGCCAGCUAAGGCCCCAAAAUCAUAGUUAAGUGGGAAACGAUGUGGGAAGGCAUAGACAGCUAGGAGGUUGGCUUAGAAGCAGCCACCCUUUAAAGAAAGCGUAAUAGCUCACUAGUCGAGUCGGCCUGCGCGGAAGAUGUAACGGGGCUAAAACUAUGUGCCGAAGCUGCGGAUGUAUACUUUGUAUACGUGGUAGGGGAGCGUUCUGUAAGCCGAUGAAGGUGUGUUGAGAAGCAUGCUGGAGGUAUCAGAAGUGCGAAUGCUGACGUGAGUAACGACAAAACGGGUGAAAAACCCGUUCGCCGAAAGACCAAGGGUUCCAGUCCAACGUUAAUCGGGGCUGGGUGAGUCGACCCCUAAGGCGAGGCCGAAAGGCGUAGUCGAUGGGAAAAUGGUUAAUAUUCCAUUACUUCUGUGUAAUGCGAUGAGAGGACGGAGAAGGCUAAAUCAGCCUGGCGUUGGUUGUCCAGGUGAAAGGAUGUAGGCAUGUAUCUUAGGCAAAUCCGGGGUACUCUAUGCUGAGAUCUGAUAGCAAGCUGUACUUGUACAGCGAAGUGGUUGAUGCCAUGCUUCCAGGAAAAGUCUCUAAGCUUCAGUUACACAGGAAUCGUACCCGAAACCGACACAGGUGGUCAGGUCGAGUAGACCAAGGCGCUUGAGAGAACUCUGCUGAAGGAACUAGGCAAAAUGGUACCGUAACUUCGGGAGAAGGUACGCUGUUGUUGGUGAUGGAACUCGCUUCCUGAGCUGACGACAGCCGCAGAAACCAGGCCGCUGCAACUGUUUAUUAAAAACAUAGCACUCUGCAAACACGAAAGUGGACGUAUAGGGUGUGAUGCCUGCCCGGUGCUGGAAGGUUAAUUGAUGGGGUUAGCGUAAGCGAAGCUCUUGAUCGAAGCCCCAGUAAACGGCGGCCGUAACUAUAACGGUCCUAAGGUAGCGAAAUUCCUUGUCGGGUAAGUUCCGACCUGCACGAAUGGCAUAAUGAUGGCGGCGCUGUCUCCAGCAGAGGCUCAGUGAAAUCGAAAUCGCUGUGAAGAUGCAGUGUACCCGCGGCUAGACGGAAAGACCCCGUGAACCUUUACGCAGCUUGACACUGAACUUUGACCUUACUUGUGUAGGAUAGGUGGGAGGCUUUGAAGCUGGAACGCUAGUUCCAGUGGAGCCGUCCUUGAAAUACCACCCUGGUAAUGUUGAGGUUCUAACUCUGUCCCGUGAUCCGGGACGAGGACCGUGUCUGGUGGGUAGUUUGACUGGGGCGGUCUCCUCCUAAAGAGUAACGGAGGAGUACGAAGGUGCGCUCAGCGUGGUCGGAAAUCACGCGUAGAGUAUAAAGGCAAAAGCGCGCUUAACUGCGAGACCCACAAGUCGAGCAGGUACGAAAGUAGGUCUUAGUGAUCCGGUGGUUCUGUAUGGAAGGGCCAUCGCUCAACGGAUAAAAGGUACUCUGGGGAUAACAGGCUGAUACCGCCCAAGAGUUCAUAUCGACGGCGGUGUUUGGCACCUCGAUGUCGGCUCAUCUCAUCCUGGGGCUGAAGCAGGUCCCAAGGGUAUGGCUGUUCGCCAUUUAAAGAGGUACGCGAGCUGGGUUUAGAACGUCGUGAGACAGUUCGGUCCCUAUCUACCGUGGGCGCUGGAAAUUUGAGAGGAUCUGCUCCUAGUACGAGAGGACCAGAGUGGACGAACCUCUGGUGUACCGGUUGUGACGCCAGUCGCAUCGCCGGGUAGCUAUGUUCGGAAGGGAUAACCGCUGAAAGCAUCUAAGCGGGAAGCCUACCUCAAGAUAAGAUUUCCCUAGGACUUUAUGUCCUCUAAAGAGCCGUUCGAGACUAGGACGUUGAUAGGUUGGAUGUGGAAGCAUAGUGAUAUGUGAAGCUGACCAAUACUAAUUGCUCGUGAGGCUUGACUAU
This 2891-nucleotide ribosomal RNA is filed under the name Acinetobacter baumannii. RNAcentral's name for it is "23S ribosomal RNA". It matches the Rfam family "Bacterial large subunit ribosomal RNA". The record is from RNAcentral. Lineage: Bacteria; Pseudomonadati; Pseudomonadota; Gammaproteobacteria; Moraxellales; Moraxellaceae.